AUUGAACGCUGGCGGCAUGCCUUACACAUGCAAGUCGAACGGCAGCACGGGAGCAAUCCUGGUGGCGAGUGGCGAACGGGUGAGUAAUGUAUCGGAAUCUGCCUCGUUGUGGGGGAUAACGUAGGGAAACUUACGCUAAUACCGCAUACGACCUACGGGUGAAAGUGGGGGACCUUCGGGCCUCACGCGAUGAGAUGAGCCGAUGCCGGAUUAGCUAGUUGGCGGGGUAAAGGCCCACCAAGGCGACGAUCCGUAGCUGGUCUGAGAGGAUGAUCAGCCACACUAGGACUGAGACACGGUCCAGACUCCUACGGGAGGCAGCAGUGGGGAAUAUUGGACAAUGGGGGCAACCCUGAUCUAGCCAUGCCGCGUGUGUGAAGAAGGCC
Molecule: ribosomal RNA, 386 nt
Filed under: uncultured bacterium
Lineage: Bacteria
Description: bacterial SSU rRNA
Rfam family: Bacterial small subunit ribosomal RNA
Source: RNAcentral